Molecule: ribosomal RNA, 460 nt
Filed under: uncultured bacterium
Lineage: Bacteria
Description: partial 16S ribosomal RNA
Rfam family: Bacterial small subunit ribosomal RNA
Source: RNAcentral
CCUACGGGUGGCAGCAGUGAGGAAUAUUGAUCAAUGGACGAGAGUCUGAACCAGCCAAGUAGCGUGAAGGAUGACUGCCCUAUGGGUUGUAAACUUCUUUUAUAAAGGAAUAAAACGAGGCACGUGUGCCUUUUUGCAUGUACUUUAUGAAUAAGGAUCGGCUAACUCCGUGCCAGCAGCCGCGGUAAUACGGAGGAUCCGAGCGUUAUCCGGAUUUAUUGGGUUUAAAGGGAGCGUAGAUGGGUUGUUAAGUCAGUUGUGAAAGUUUGCGGCUCAACCGUAAAAUUGCAAUUGAUACUGGCAGUCGUGAGUACAGUUGAGGUAGGCGGAAUUCGUGGUGUAGCGGUGAAAUGCUUAGAUAUCACGAAGAACCCCGAUUGCGAAGGCAGCUUACUAAACUGUGACUGACAUUGAUGCUCGAAAGUGUGGGUAUCAAACAGGAUUAGAUACCCCUGUAGUC